UUUAGGGUCAGUCACAGUGGUCAGGUAUUCUGCCACUAUGUACUCUCUGUUUAGGGUCAGUCACAGUGGUCAGGUAUUCUGCCACUGUGUACUCUCUGUUUAGGGCCAGUCACAGUGGUCAGGUAUUCUGCCACUGUGUACUCUCUGUUUAGGGCCAGUCACAGUGGUCAGGUAUUCUGCCACUGUGUCCUCUCUGUUUAGGGUCAGUCACAGUGGUCAGGUAUUCUGCCACUGUGUUCUCUCUGUUUAGGGCCAGUUACAGUGGUCAGGUAUUCUGCCACUGUGUCCUCUCUGUUUAGGGUCAGUCACAGUGGUCAGGUAUUCUGCCACUCUCUGUUUAGGGUCAGUCACAGUGGUCAGGUAUUCUGCCACUCUCUGUUUAGGGUCAGUCACAGUGGUCAGGUAUUCUGCCACUGUGUACUCUCUGUUUAGGGCCAGUCACAGUGGUCAGGUAUUCUGCCACUGUGUCCUCUCUGUUUAGGGUCAGUCACAGUGGUCAGGUAUUCUGCCACUCUCUGUUUAGGGUCAGUCACAGUGGUCAGGUAUUCUGCCACUCUCUGUUUAGGGUCAGUCACAGUGGUCAGGUAUUCUGCCACUGUGUACUCUCUGUUUAGGGCCAGUCACAGUGGUCAGGUAUUCUGCCACUCUCUGUUUAGGGUCAGUCACAGUGGUCAGGUAUUCUGCCACUGUGUACUCUCUGUUUAGGGUCAGUCACAGUGGUCAGGUAUUCUGCC
Long non-coding RNA from Oncorhynchus keta (chum salmon), 734 nucleotides. RefSeq lists it as uncharacterized. Lineage: Eukaryota; Metazoa; Chordata; Actinopteri; Salmoniformes; Salmonidae. The record is from RefSeq and is a predicted model, not a curated record. The transcript is spliced from 3 exons.